CAGCAGCCGCGGUAAUACGGAGGGUGCAAGCGUUAAUCGGAAUUACUGGGCGUAAAGCGCACGCAGGCGGUUUGUUAAGUCAGAUGUGAAAUCCCCGAGCUUAACUUGGGAACUGCAUUUGAAACUGGCAAGCUAGAGUCUUGUAGAGGGGGGUAGAAUUCCAGGUGUAGCGGUGAAAUGCGUAGAGAUCUGGAGGAAUACCGGUGGCGAAGGCGGCCCCCUGGACAAAGACUGACGCUCAGGUGCGAAAGCGUGGGGAGCAAACAGGAUUAGAUACCCCUGUAGUCCCUGUCUCUUAUAC
Molecule: ribosomal RNA, 301 nt
Filed under: uncultured bacterium
Lineage: Bacteria
Description: partial 16S ribosomal RNA
Rfam family: Bacterial small subunit ribosomal RNA
Source: RNAcentral